UCCGUUGUAGUACGCGUGGGAACAUACCCUUUCCUGCGGAAUAGCUCCGGGAAACUGGAAUUAAUACCGCAUACGCCCUACGGGGGAAAGAUUUAUCGGGGAAGGAUUGGCCCGCGUUGGAUUAGCUAGUUGGUGGGGUAAAGGCCUACCAAGGCGACGAUCCAUAGCUGGUCUGAGAGGAUGAUCAGCCACAUUGGGACUGAGACACGGCCCAAACUCCUACGGGAGGCAGCAGUGGGGAAUAUUGGACAAUGGGCGCAAGCCUGAUCCAGCCAUGCCGCGUGAGUGAUGAAGGCCUUAGGGUUGUAAAGCUCUUUCACCGGAGAAGAUAAUGACGGUAUCCGGAGAAGAAGCCCCGGCUAACUUCGUGCCAGCAGCCGCGGUAAUACGAAGGGGGCUAGCGUUGUUCGGAAUUACUGGGCGUAAAGCGCACGUAGGCGGAUAUUUAAGUCAGGGGUGAAAUCCCAGAGCUCAACUCUGGAACUGCCUUUGAUACUGGGUAUCUUGAGUAUGGAAGAGGUAAGUGGAAUUCCGAGUGUAGAGGUGAAAUUCGUAGAUAUUCGGAGGAACACCAGUGGCGAAGGCGGCUUACUGGUGUGGUGGAAUUUCCUGUG
RNAcentral lists this ribosomal RNA (614 nucleotides) under Rhizobium sp. EECC-244a. RNAcentral's name for it is "bacterial SSU rRNA". It matches the Rfam family "Bacterial small subunit ribosomal RNA", at positions 100 to 753 of the family's 1533-position model. Lineage: Bacteria; Pseudomonadati; Pseudomonadota; Alphaproteobacteria; Hyphomicrobiales; Rhizobiaceae. The record is from RNAcentral.